AGUGAACGCUGGCGGUAGGCCUAACACAUGCAAGUCGAACGGCAGCACAGUAAGAGCUUGCUCUUACGGGUGGCGAGUGGCGGACGGGUGAGGAAUACAUCGGAAUCUACUUUUUCGUGGGGGAUAACGUAGGGAAACUUACGCUAAUACCGCAUACGACCUACGGGUGAAAGCAGGGGAUCUUCGGACCUUGCGCGAUUGAAUGAGCCGAUGUCGGAUUAGCUAGUUGGCGGGGUAAAGGCCCACCAAGGCGACGAUCCGUAGCUGGUCUGAGAGGAUGAUCAGCCAAACUGGAACUGAGACACGGUCCAGACUCCUACGGGAGGCAGCAGUGGGGAAUAUUGGACAAUGGGCGCAAGCCUGAUCCAGCCAUACCGCGUGGGUGAAGAAGGCCUUCGGGUUUUAAAGCCCUUUUGUUGGGAAAGAAAAGCAGCAGGUUAAUACCCCGCUGUUCUGACGGUACCCAAAGAAUAAGCACCGGCUAACUUCGUG
This 492-nucleotide ribosomal RNA is filed under the name uncultured bacterium. RNAcentral's name for it is "partial 16S ribosomal RNA". It matches the Rfam family "Bacterial small subunit ribosomal RNA", at positions 29 to 507 of the family's 1533-position model. The record is from RNAcentral.